GCCUAACACAUGCAAGUCGAACGAGCAAGAGAGAGCUUGCUUUCUCGAGCGAGUGGCGAACGGGUGAGUAACGCGUGAGGAACCUGCCUCAAAGAGGGGGACAACAGUUGGAAACGACUGCUAAUACCGCAUAAGCCCACGGGUCGGCAUCGACCAGAGGGAAAAGGAGCAAUCCGCUUUGAGAUGGCCUCGCGUCCGAUUAGCUAGUUGGUGAGGUAACGGCCCACCAAGGCGACGAUCGGUAGCCGGACUGAGAGGUUGAACGGCCACAUUGGGACUGAGACACGGCCCAGACUCCUACGGGAGGCAGCAGUGGGGAAUAUUGCACAAUGGGGGAAACCCUGAUGCAGCGACGCCGCGUGGAGGAAGAAGGUCUUCGGAUUGUAAACUCCUGUUGUUGGGGAAGAUAAUGACGGUACCCAACAAGGAAGUGACGGCUAACUACGUGCCAGCAGCCGCGGUAAAACGUAGGUCACAAGCGUUGUCCGGAAUUACUGGGUGUAAAGGGAGCGCAGGCGGGAAGACAAGUUGGAAGUGAAAUCUAUGGGCUCAACCCAUAAACUGCUUUCAAAACUGUUUUUCUUGAGUAGUGCAGAGGUAGGCGGAAUUCCCGGUGUAGCGGUGGAAUGCGUAGAUAUCGGGAGGAACACCAGUGGCGAAGGCGGCCUACUGGGCACCAACUGACGCUGAGGCUCGA
This 697-nucleotide ribosomal RNA is filed under the name uncultured Lachnospiraceae bacterium. RNAcentral's name for it is "bacterial SSU rRNA". It matches the Rfam family "Bacterial small subunit ribosomal RNA", at positions 46 to 756 of the family's 1533-position model. Lineage: Bacteria; Bacillati; Bacillota; Clostridia; Lachnospirales; Lachnospiraceae. The record is from RNAcentral.